UAAUCUAUUUGGAGAAGAACCUCAUUUAGUUAUAGCAGGCUCACACGUAACUGCUCAGAAUUAGUGAACAAUAACAUUUUUAGUUUACAAGUUUGACA
This is a non-coding RNA of Populus trichocarpa (black cottonwood), 98 nucleotides long. The record is from Rfam. NCBI's taxonomy places the organism in Eukaryota, Viridiplantae, Streptophyta, Magnoliopsida, Malpighiales, Salicaceae.